GAAAGCUGACGGUCCACAUCCCCAGCACGAACUAGCAGUGAGCCCGCGCGUUUGUUUCAGCUGCUGGGGACGAGGGGUAACAGCCGAGAACAUACGGGCCUUUUGGAAUGCAGAUAUUCCCCGCCAUACACCGAUCCAGUUCCAACAGGCUUGCGGCAGUAUUUCUUACCACACUGUCUCACUGCCCUUCAUUAUUGUUCCAGCAGUCAUAGAAGGUGGUUGUGCUGUACAAGUUUAUAUUUCGAGGUGAAAGAUGCCUCGUACUUGUGUGAAUAGAGCAGACAGCUGCUACAUUUGUGGUGAGAUGACCUUUGCAUCACAGAAGCGCCAUAUAACUGCUAUGGUUAGAAAACCUGGGAUGAAAAAUGUUCAACAUUCACCUCUCAAUGAACCAAACAAAAUUUGGCUACCACCACUACACAAAACUGUUUAAAACAUACCGAUUAUGUUAUAAUAAAAUAAUGAAAUAUUACAAGUCUCGUAUCUUUAAACCUAUAGC
Long non-coding RNA from Cherax quadricarinatus, 499 nucleotides. RefSeq lists it as uncharacterized. Lineage: Eukaryota; Metazoa; Arthropoda; Malacostraca; Decapoda; Parastacidae. The record is from RefSeq and is a predicted model, not a curated record.